UGUUGACAAGACAGAAACCAAACUACAGACUUUUGGAAGUUGGGACCAAUAAUAAGAAAUUAGCAAUCAAAUGUAAACCUUUUGGGAAUUGAAUAAAAACUUUGGUGAAAAUAGGUUUCAAAACAGCACACAAGGAGAAAGUUUUCUGCAUAAUGUCCAGUCCCACCAAAACCUAAAGACAGCAUUUAAUUCAGAUAUUUUUGGGGGGAAAAAUAGGGUAACUUCCAGUUCUGGAGAGCUGACAGAUCACAAGCUUUCACCUCUCUUUGAAAUCGAUAUCCCACUGAUGUGACUGAAGUAAAACACAACAGAGGCUAAAUUAAAGCUGAGUUAGAGAGGGCUUCACCAGCAAACCAAAACAAAGAAAGAUUUCUCAAAGAGAUUUCUCAAACGGAUGCAAUCAAACUGAUGACAAGUCCCCACAAAGAGAACCCAAAAUACAGGCAUUAAGAUUGGACUAAGACAAAGAACACCUGCAAGGAGAACCUGAGGGCAAGUCCUGCGGUCAAGGUUGAGAGAGAGGAAGACUCUGAAAUCAGAAUGCCUGAAUUCAUCGGAUCCAGGCUCCAACACCCUGCCUGCCUCAGUGUUCUCAAAUGAGGAAUGCAAAUGAGAAUAGUAUUUACCUGGAGACCUACUAUGAGGGUUACAUGAGAUCACGGAGAUAAAGCGUUUCACCGAAUGUCUGUCUUACAGGAAGUGCUGAAGCAUUCAGAAUGUAACAAAAAUGAAAAUACCAAAUUUCAAAACCUAAGGGAGGCAGUUAAAAAUAAACAGAAAAAUCUCAUAGUGUUUUUCUUUAAAUAAUAUAUUUUAUUUAUCCCAGCGGUUCUCAGCCAGGGGAGAGUUUUAAAUGCCUUUAUUGUUCAAGGACUGGAAUGCAUAAACUAAUUGCAGCAGAAUCUGUGGGUUCCCUGCCCAGAUCCUCAGGGACCCUCUAUCAGCUGUGGCAUGUGCUCCUGCUAAUGACCUACCCCUGCACGGGUCUGCAGUGGGCUCCCCUUAGAUGAUUUCCCCACCCACGGGUGCCUGAAGGUAUGUCCCAGCUCCCACUGGCUCCAUUGGGGCCAAUGGCUGACUAUAGUAAUCCUCCCUUAUUUGUGGGGUAUGCGUUCCAAGACCCCCAGUGAAUGCCUAAAGCCGUGGUGAGUACUGAACCCUAUACAUACUAUAUUAUUUCUAUAUGUACACACCUAUGAUAAGGUUUAAUUUGUAAAUUAGGCACAGUAGGAGAUUCACAAUAACUCAGAAUAAUCAUAAUAAUAUACUAUAAUAAAAGUUAUGUGAAUAUGGUCUCUCUCACUCAAAAUGUCUUCUUGUACUGUACUCACCCUUCUUCUUGUGACGAUGUGAGAUGAUAAAAUGCCUACCUGAUAAGAUGCAGUGAGGUAAAUGACGUAGGCAUUGUGACAUAGCGUUAGGCUUCUAUUAACCUUCUGAUCAUUUGUCAGAGGAUGACCAUCUGCCUCUAAACCAAGGUUGACCACAGGUACCUGAAAUCUUGGAAAGCGAAACCACAGAGAAGGAGGGACUGCACUGUAACGUUGGGACACAAAGUUCCUGCGUCCUUGUCACAAGUUAGGACAGACCAUGGUGCAAUUCCUGCUUGAUUUAUGCUACAGAGCUCCCCAGAGAAUCAGGCUGGGUGAACUUAGACCUCUCCCAUUCCCUCCCUGCUACCUUGCUCCCUGCAGGCUCUUGUGAACACUUCUGUAACAAACUAGCUUUACAAGAAUUGCCACCUCACGCUCUGCGGCUGGGGAGCCCAGCCUAAGUUAUAAACCUUCAGGUCAGGAACCCAGAAAAAGUCUUCCCCCAAAACUGAACCAAAAUAAAAACAUAAGCCAAUAAUAAAAUGAAAGUGUAAAUUGGUGGAAAGGCGGGGAAUUGUGAGCUUGAUAAAUUGAACCAAGAAUGUGAACUUUUGAGUACUUCUCAAAUGGACCUCUCUCUCUAUUGACCUUACAGAUCAUAGUGCUUUAUGUAAAAAAUAAGUAAUUUGGAACUCCAAAUAGUUGAUGUAUGCUCAUAAAAAGGCCUUGUCCCUACACCAAAAGUUGUAAAUGUAUUCCUGUGAGUAUAUUGUUAGAAUACAAUGUGUCUAAUCAAAUAUGA
This is a long non-coding RNA of Leopardus geoffroyi (Geoffroy's cat), 2115 nucleotides long. RefSeq lists it as uncharacterized. The record is from RefSeq and is a predicted model, not a curated record. The transcript is spliced from 2 exons. Lineage: Eukaryota; Metazoa; Chordata; Mammalia; Carnivora; Felidae.